This 468-nucleotide ribosomal RNA is filed under the name uncultured bacterium. RNAcentral describes it as "partial 16S ribosomal RNA". It matches the Rfam family "Bacterial small subunit ribosomal RNA", at positions 28 to 507 of the family's 1533-position model. The record is from RNAcentral.
GACGAACGCUGGCGGCGUGCUUAACACAUGCAAGUCGAACGGAAAGACCCUGCUUUUGUGGGGUGCUCGAGUGGCGAACGGGUGAGUAACACGUGAGUAACCUGCCCUUGACUUUGGGAUAACUUCGGGAAACUGGGGCUAAUACCGGAUAGGAGCUCCUGCUGCAUGGUGGGGGUUGGAAAGUUUCGGCGGUUGGGGAUGGACUCGCGGCUUAUCAGCUUGUUGGUGGGGUAGUGGCUUACCAAGGCUUUGACGGGUAGCCGGCCUGAGAGGGUGACCGGCCACAUUGGGACUGAGAUACGGCCCAGACUCCUACGGGAGGCAGCAGUGGGGAAUAUUGCACAAUGGGCGGAAGCCUGAUGCAGCAACGCCGCGUGCGGGAUGACGGCCUUCGAGUUGUAAACCGCUUUCGCCUGUGACGAAGCGUGAGUGACGGUAAUGGGUAAAGAAGCACCGGCUAACUACGUG